RNAcentral lists this ribosomal RNA (250 nucleotides) under uncultured bacterium. RNAcentral's name for it is "partial 16S ribosomal RNA". It matches the Rfam family "Bacterial small subunit ribosomal RNA", at positions 524 to 773 of the family's 1533-position model. The record is from RNAcentral.
UACGAAGGGGGCUAGCGUUGCUCGGAAUUACUGGGCGUAAAGCGCACGUAGGCGGACCGAUAAGUCGGGGGUGAAAUCCUGGAGCUCAACUCCAGAACUGCCUCCGAAACUGCCGGCCUUGAGUUCGGGAGAGGUGAGUGGAACUGCGAGUGUAGAGGUGAAAUUCGUAGAUAUUCGCAAGAACACCAGUGGCGAAGGCGGCUCACUGGCCCGAUACUGACGCUGAGGUGCGAAAGCGUGGGGAGCAAAC